CACUACUCUAAACGGUGGAUCACUCGGCUCGUGUGUCGAUGAAGAGCGCAGCCAGCUGCGUGAAUUARUGUGAAUUGCAGGACACAUUGAACAUCGAUAUCUUGAACGCAUAUUGCGGCCUCGGGUAAUCCCGAGGCCACGCCUGUCUCAGGGUCGGUUACAAGUCGAUCGCCGAGCGGCUCUCACUCGGCGCGCUGGGCGUCGCAG
RNAcentral lists this ribosomal RNA (207 nucleotides) under Grania brasiliensis. RNAcentral describes it as "5.8S ribosomal RNA". The stretch from base 4 to 156 matches the Rfam family "5.8S ribosomal RNA". Rfam says of the family: 5.8S ribosomal RNA (5.8S rRNA) is a component of the large subunit of the eukaryotic ribosome. It is transcribed by RNA polymerase I as part of the 45S precursor that also contains 18S and 28S rRNA. Functionally, it is thought that 5.8S rRNA may be involved in ribosome translocation. Lineage: Eukaryota; Metazoa; Annelida; Clitellata; Enchytraeida; Enchytraeidae. The record is from RNAcentral.